Molecule: ribosomal RNA, 998 nt
Filed under: uncultured bacterium
Lineage: Bacteria
Description: bacterial SSU rRNA
Rfam family: Bacterial small subunit ribosomal RNA
Source: RNAcentral
GGGGGAUAUUGCGCAAUGGGGGAAACCCUGACGCAGCAACGCCGCGUGAAGGAAGAAGGUCUUCGGAUUGUAAACUUCUUUUGUCAGGGACGAAGAAAGUGACGGUACCUGACGAAUAAGCUCCGGCUAACUACGUGCCAGCAGCCGCGGUAAUACGUAGGGAGCGAGCGUUGUCCGGAUUUACUGGGUGUAAAGGGUGCGUAGGCGGCCGAGCAAGUCAGUUGUGAAAACUAUGGGCUCAACCCAUAAAUUGCUUUCAAAACUGCUGGCCUUGAGUAGUGCAGAGGUAGGUGGAAUUCCCGGUGUAGCGGUGGAAUGCGUAGAUAUCGGGAGGAACACCAGUGGCGAAGGCGACCUACUGGGCACCAACUGACGCUGAGGCUCGAAAGCAUGGGUAGCAAACAGGAUUAGAUACCCUGGUAGUCCAUGCCGUAAACGAUGAUUACUAGGUGUUGGAGGAUUGACCCCUUCAGUGCCGCAGUUAACACAAUAAGUAAUCCACCUGGGGAGUACGACCGCAAGGUUGAAACUCAAAGGAAUUGACGGGGGCCCGCACAAGCAGUGGAGUAUGUGGUUUAAUUCGACGCAACGCGAAGAACCUUACCAAGUCUUGACAUCCCUUGACAGACAUAGAAAUAUGUAAUCUCUUCGGAGCAAGGAGACAGGUGGUGCAUGGUUGUCGUCAGCUCGUGUCGUGAGAUGUUGGGUUAAGUCCCGCAACGAGCGCAACCCUUGUAUUUAGUUGCUACGCAAGAGCACUCUAGAUAGACUGCCGUGGACAACACGGAGGAAGGUGGGGAUGACGUCAAAUCAUCAUGCCCCUUAUGACCUGGGCUACACACGUACUACAAUGGCAAUAGAACAGAGGGAAGCGACUCAGCGAUGAGAAGCAGAUCCCGAAAAAUUGUCUCAGUUCGGAUUGCAGGCUGCAACCCGCCUGCAUGAAGUCGGAAUUGCUAGUAAUCGCGGAUCAGCAUGCCGCGGUGAAUACGUUCCCG